This 468-nucleotide ribosomal RNA is filed under the name uncultured bacterium. Its description in RNAcentral is "partial 16S ribosomal RNA". It matches the Rfam family "Bacterial small subunit ribosomal RNA", at positions 28 to 507 of the family's 1533-position model. The record is from RNAcentral.
GACGAACGCUGGCGGCGUGCUUAACACAUGCAAGUCGAACGGAAAGGCCCUGCUUUUGUGGGGUGCUCGAGUGGCGAACGGGUGAGUAACACGUGAGCAACCUGCCCUUGUUUUUGGGAUAACUUCAGGAAACUGGGGUUAAUACCGGAUAGGAUCCCCUGUUGCAUGGUGGGGGGUGGAACGUUUGGGCGGGUGGGGAUGGACGCGCGGCUUAUCAGCUUGUUGGUGGGGUAGUGGCUUACCCAGGCUUUGACGGGUAGCCGGCCUGUGAGGGUGACCGGCCACAUUGGGACUGAGAGACGGCGCAGACUCCUACAGGAGGCAGCAGUGGGGAGUAUUGCACAAUGGGCGGAAGCCGGAUGCAGAAACGCCGCGGGUGGAAAGACGGCCUUCGGGUUGUAAACCGCAUUCGCCUGUGACGAAGCGGGAGUGACGGUAAUGGAUAAAGAAGCACCGGCUAACUACGUG